GUCAGCUAUGUAGACUCUAGCUGCCAAAGGCGCUUCUCCUUCUGAACAGAGCGCUUUGCUCAGCCAGUGUAGACAUGGCCUGAU
Molecule: microRNA precursor, 84 nt
Organism: Mustela putorius furo (domestic ferret)
Lineage: Eukaryota; Metazoa; Chordata; Mammalia; Carnivora; Mustelidae
Product: microRNA 1251
Source: Ensembl